GCCAGACUCCUACGGGAGGCAGCAGUGGGGAAUAUUGCACAAUGGGGGGAACCCUGAUGCAGCGACGCCGCGUGGGCGAGGAAGUAUUUCGGUAUGUAAAGCCCUAUCGGCAGGGAAGAAGAAAUGACGGUACCUGAAUAAGAAGCACCGGCUAAAUACGUGCCAGCAGCCGCGGUAAUACGUAGGGGGCAAGCGUUAUCCGGAUUUACUGGGUGUAAAGGGGGCGCAGACGGCGAUGCAAGCCAGGAGUGAAAGCCCGGGGCCCAACCCCGGGACUGCUCUUGGAACUGCGUGGCUGGAGUGCAGGAGGGGCAGGCGGAAUUCCUAGUGUAGCGGUGAAAUGCGUAGAUAUUAGGAGGAACACCAGUGGCGAAGGCGGCCUGCUGGACGAUGACUGACGCUGAGGCUCGAAAGCGUGGGGAGCAAACAGGAUUAGAUACCCCGGUAU
This 448-nucleotide ribosomal RNA is filed under the name uncultured bacterium. Its description in RNAcentral is "partial 16S ribosomal RNA". It matches the Rfam family "Bacterial small subunit ribosomal RNA", at positions 330 to 793 of the family's 1533-position model. The record is from RNAcentral.